Molecule: long non-coding RNA, 252 nt
Filed under: Setaria italica (foxtail millet)
Lineage: Eukaryota; Viridiplantae; Streptophyta; Magnoliopsida; Poales; Poaceae
Description: long non-coding RNA (SITA_LNC002855)
Source: RNAcentral
GUAAAUUAACACCUCGCGGGCUCAGUAGUUUGUCACCGGAGUGUUGAGGACUCCACCAAGUCGCGCACUUUCGAGGACUUUUGUGAACAUUUUGCUAUGCAGAGUUCGUUUCAUUGAAUUCCUUUGCCGAGGAUUCGAUCUCUAGGUUUUGGGGACAAAAGUUCCAUGUCACUAUCCAGGUAAUGUCCUCUUGUCCACACAUAACUAGGUUUUCGGGACGUUUCCUCUUUGGUGGCCUCAUGUACUUUUUUG